GCCGGCGUGUCGGAAUUGGUAGACGAUGCAGACUCAAAAUCUGUUGUCAGUGAUGGCGUGUGGGUUCGAGUCCCACCGCCGGCA
This 84-nucleotide transfer RNA is filed under the name Lachnospiraceae bacterium. RNAcentral's name for it is "tRNA-Leu". It matches the Rfam family "tRNA". Rfam says of the family: Transfer RNA (tRNA) molecules are approximately 80 nucleotides in length. Their secondary structure includes four short double-helical elements and three loops (D, anti-codon, and T loops). The record is from RNAcentral. Lineage: Bacteria; Bacillati; Bacillota; Clostridia; Lachnospirales; Lachnospiraceae.